UACAGAGGUCUCGAGCGUUAGGCGGAAUCACUGGGCUUAAAGCGUGUGUAGGCGGAUCGUUAAGUGCCUUGUGAAAUCCCACGGCUCAACCGUGGAACUGCUUGGCAUACUGGCGGUCUUGAGCAACCUAGGGGCGAGCGGAACAAAUGGUGGAGCGGUGAAAUGCGUAGAUAUCAUUUGGAACGCCAAUGGUGAAAACAGCUCGCUGGGGGUUUGCUGACGUUGAGACACGAAAGCCAGGGGAGCAAACGGG
Molecule: ribosomal RNA, 253 nt
Filed under: uncultured bacterium
Lineage: Bacteria
Description: partial 16S ribosomal RNA
Rfam family: Bacterial small subunit ribosomal RNA
Source: RNAcentral